Molecule: ribosomal RNA, 173 nt
Filed under: Mycobacterium scrofulaceum
Lineage: Bacteria; Bacillati; Actinomycetota; Actinomycetes; Mycobacteriales; Mycobacteriaceae
Description: partial 16S ribosomal RNA
Rfam family: Bacterial small subunit ribosomal RNA
Source: RNAcentral
AGUCGAACGGAAAGGCCCCUUCGGGGGUACUCGAGUGGCGAACGGGUGAGUAACACGUGGGCAAUCUGCCCUGCACUUCGGGAUAAGCCUGGGAAACUGGGUCUAAUACCGGAUAGGACCACUUGGCGCAUGCCUUGUGGUGGAAAGCUUUUGCGGUGUGGGAUGGGCCCGCG